Cynocephalus volans (Philippine flying lemur) is the source of this 78-nucleotide small nucleolar RNA. RefSeq annotates it as small nucleolar RNA SNORD121A. The transcript has a single exon. NCBI's taxonomy places the organism in Eukaryota, Metazoa, Chordata, Mammalia, Dermoptera, Cynocephalidae. The record is from RefSeq and is a predicted model, not a curated record.
UCCUUAGAAACAACAAUGUGAUAAAUUCCAAGCACUUAUGAUUCCACGUGGAAAUUAACAACUCUGAGUUUCUUGGGA